This is a long non-coding RNA of Notothenia coriiceps (black rockcod), 1199 nucleotides long. RefSeq lists it as uncharacterized. Lineage: Eukaryota; Metazoa; Chordata; Actinopteri; Perciformes; Nototheniidae. The record is from RefSeq and is a predicted model, not a curated record. The transcript is spliced from 2 exons.
CUGAAUCACAUUUGUUGUCGCUUAUGGCUCGGGGUCAUCUACACCCAGAGAAGGAUGUGUUCCAGGUGUCCCACAACAAUAACUAUCUCUGACUGAGAGUAGCCCGGUCACAAACUGGCAACAUCAACAACUUGCUAGGGCAGCCCCUCCUUAUGGGGGAUAACGGCUGGUCAGCUGUGCCAGAGGGCAAAGGAGGAGGACAUGCAGGGCAAAUGAUUCCCCAACACUUCUGACAUAUUCUGUUUUCAUUUCCUAUUUUGUUUGAUCACUCAGUUGUGAUUGCAUUUCUCCACUGUGGUUGAACUUGUUUACAUCCUGCCUGCAGGCCUUAAUCUGUCUGGUGGAUAAGAAGUCGGGGGAGAAAAGCAAAGUCCGACCGCGCUUCGUGAAGCAGGACCAGGUGUGCAUCGCCCGGCUGAGAGCGGCAGGAACCAUCUGCUUAGAGACCUUCAAAGACUUCCCUCAGAUGGGACGGUUCACACUGAGGGACGAGGGUAAAACCAUCGCCAUCGGCAAAGUGCUGAAGCUGGUCCCAGAGAAGGACUAAACGCCUCGUCAGCUGACCGUUGUUCUUCCUCUUGUUACCGGGGAGAAACGCUGCUCGGCCGACAAACAGCUGCUCUCUCUUCACACUCAACACGCUGAAGAGAAGUCCAACGACAACCAGGAGAGGGAUCGAGGAGUUAAAAUAACGUCACACGAAGAAAACAAGACUGAAUCAGUUUUUUUGAUGAACUAUAUUAAGUGAGAGACCAAGUCCAGUGUGUCAGCUUUCUCAUAUUGAGAGCUCAGCUAUGCCACUAAUGUAGCUACAAGCCCCGCCCCCUUCUGUAUUCCCACGGCUCACCGCGAUGUCGGCUCGCUACGCCAUUUGUUUUUAGAAUGGAGAUGGAUGCAGUGUUACUGAGUUUGGGGAGGAUAUGACCACAGAAAGAUUUCAUAUCCUGCAAAACAAGAGCAGGGUUAGCCUGUAAUUAUAAUUUGCAAAUCACAUCUCCCUUUUUAAGAGCGGGAUUUAGGAAACCUUUUAUUUGGUUUUUAAGGAUUGCUGUACCAACAUUUUGAGUUUGGUCUCUCUCCACAUGAGAUGGUUUGAUUGGAUUGGGCUCACAUACUACUCUGAUUAAAACCACGGAUAAACACAGACACACACACACAGCUGUUACAUAAUCUAAACUGAAAAUAAAUUAUCAACGCUG